Molecule: long non-coding RNA, 277 nt
Organism: Strongylocentrotus purpuratus (purple sea urchin)
Lineage: Eukaryota; Metazoa; Echinodermata; Echinoidea; Camarodonta; Strongylocentrotidae
Exons: 3
Source: RefSeq, a predicted model, not a curated record
UGGAAAAGCUUGCAACAUUCCGUCUCCCUAGCAGACGAUCAUCUAAGAGAAGUGUGGAAAUCCGUGAGCGAUUCAGGAGAUUCAGCCACGGUUAUGAAACAACGACAAAGUGUGGAAAAGCAACAUGACACAAAUGUGGAAGAAGUCUUUGAAGGAGAAUUCCCUCCUAAAGAACCAAGGACCAUCCCGACAGUAGGCCUACAUGAUUUGGAGGUGGAGAUUCCAGAAGCAAGGGGGCGCUGGGAAGAGAGGCUUCAUCAUAAGCGAACAAACAUUC